UGUUUUUCUUUUAUGAUAAAUGAAUAUUGUGUUGGGUUAUUUAAUAUCUUUGUGACUGAAUCCGAGGAAAAAGAGGACAAGAAAGUGAAUCCAGAGGAAAAUACACACAUUCAUGUGAAAAUGAAAAACGUUUUUCCGAUGGACUAUUAACCUUGGAUGUGGAUUUGGAUUGUCAAGAAAAUAAAUAAUGUAGCUUGUUCAACAAUUUAUCAAAGAAAAUGACUUGCAAACUCCCUCUAAAGAUGGAGUACCUGGAGAAGACUGGUUUUUCGAUUAAAAGAAUCGAUUUUAUAUUAAGAAAGAAUUGUUUUUAAAUUAUUAAAAUCUUUGUUUUAAAAAUCUAAAUAAUUAUUUUUCCUAAAGACAAA
Aethina tumida (small hive beetle) is the source of this 368-nucleotide long non-coding RNA. RefSeq lists it as uncharacterized. NCBI's taxonomy places the organism in Eukaryota, Metazoa, Arthropoda, Insecta, Coleoptera, Nitidulidae. The transcript is spliced from 2 exons. The record is from RefSeq and is a predicted model, not a curated record.